Non-coding RNA from Trichonephila inaurata madagascariensis, 73 nucleotides. The record is from the annotation of a GenBank genome assembly. Lineage: Eukaryota; Metazoa; Arthropoda; Arachnida; Araneae; Nephilidae.
GUCCCUGUAGCACAAUGGAUAGCGCUUUGGACUUCUAAUCCAAGUGUCGUGGAUUCGAAUCCCACAUGGGAUG